ACACAUGCGAGUCGUAACAUGGUACCACGAGCUUGCUCUAGGGGAUUAGUGGCGAACGGGUGAGUAACACGUGAGUAACCUGCCCUUGACUCUGGGAUAACCUCCGGAAACGGAAGCUAAUACCGGAUAUGACGUACGGAGGCAUCUCCUGUACGUGGAAAGAAUUUCGGUCAAGGAUGGACUCGCGGCCUAUCAGGUAGUUGGUGAGGUAACGGCCCACCAAGCCUACGACGGGUAGCCGGCCUGAGAGGGUGACCGGCCACACUGGGACUGAGACACGGCCCAGACUCCUACGG
Molecule: ribosomal RNA, 296 nt
Filed under: Leifsonia sp.
Lineage: Bacteria; Bacillati; Actinomycetota; Actinomycetes; Micrococcales; Microbacteriaceae
Description: partial 16S ribosomal RNA
Rfam family: Bacterial small subunit ribosomal RNA
Source: RNAcentral